CUCAGUUGCCAGCACAUAAUGGUGGGCACUCUGUGGAGACUGCCCGGGUUAACCGGGAGGAAGGUGGGGAGUGACGUCAAGUCAUCAUGGCCCUUACGCCUAGGGCUACACACGUACUACAAUGGUGGGUACAAAGGGCAGCGAAACCGCGAGGUCGAGCGAAUCUCAAAAAACCCAUCAUAGUCCGGAUUGCAGUCUGCAACUCGACUGCAUGAAGUUGGAAUCGCUAGUAAUCCCGGAUCAGCAUGCCGGGGUGAAUACGUUCCCGGGCCUU
Molecule: ribosomal RNA, 274 nt
Filed under: uncultured Desulfomicrobium sp.
Lineage: Bacteria; Pseudomonadati; Thermodesulfobacteriota; Desulfovibrionia; Desulfovibrionales; Desulfomicrobiaceae
Description: partial 16S ribosomal RNA
Rfam family: Bacterial small subunit ribosomal RNA
Source: RNAcentral